Molecule: ribosomal RNA, 397 nt
Filed under: uncultured Glomus
Lineage: Eukaryota; Fungi; Glomeromycota; Glomeromycetes; Glomerales; Glomeraceae
Description: SSU rRNA
Rfam family: Eukaryotic small subunit ribosomal RNA
Source: RNAcentral
AGCAGCCGCGGUAAUUCCAGCUCCAAUAGCGUAUAUUAAAGUUGUUGCAGUUAAAAAGCUCGUAGUUGAAUUUCGGGGUCAGCAAGUUGGUCGUGCCACUGGUAUGCACUGGCUUUACUGAUUCCUCCUUCUUGAAGAACUGUAAUGCUAUUAAUUUAGUGUUGCAGGGAAACAGGACUGUUACUUUGAAAAAUUAGAGUGUUUAAAGCAGGCUAACGCUUGAAUACAUUAGCAUGGAAUAAUGAAAUAGGACGUUUGAUCCUAUUUUGUUGGUUUCUAGGAUUGACGUAAUGAUUAAUAGGGAUAGUUGGGGGCAUUAGUAUUCAAUUGUCAGAGGUGAAAUUCUUGGAUUUAUUGAAGACUAACUACUGCGAAAGCAUUUGCCAAGGAUGUUUUC